CCUGGCUCGGACACCUGCAAGCAAUCAUCUCAUCACCACGCUCACUUCUUAAGGUGGCUGCUGAGAGUGCUUCUUCGCUGGAUUAUUGUGUAACACUCAUUUCUCGCCAGUCUGAGGACCGCCGUUUGGUGAGCUAAAAGCCGGAGUCCGAGCUAACCUGAGCUUCAGUGAAGGAUUGUGUACAUAGCCCGUUCCCUUCCCGUGCCUGUGUUCCCCGGAGACCCUCUUCCUGUGCCCCCUCACCUGUAUAUAUCCGCACUUGGUGUCUGUGUGUAAAUAAAUUGUGAACUUU
Molecule: long non-coding RNA, 292 nt
Organism: Oreochromis niloticus (Nile tilapia)
Lineage: Eukaryota; Metazoa; Chordata; Actinopteri; Cichliformes; Cichlidae
Exons: 2
Source: RefSeq, a predicted model, not a curated record